UUGCCAGGAUUCUUCCAUGCAGUCGACGGUGAUAUCAGGGCUUGCUCUGGUUGAUCAGUGGCGAACGGGUGAGUAACACGUGAGUAACCUGCCCCUGACUCUGGGAUAACUGCUGGAAACGGUGGCUAAUACCGGAUAUGAGACCUGAUCGCAUGGUGGGGUCUGGAAAGAUUUUUUGGUCAGGGAUGGACUCGCGGCCUAUCAGCUUGUUGGUGGGGUGAUGGCCUACCAAGGCGACGACGGGUAGCCGGCCUGAGAGGGCGACCGGCCACACUGGGACUGAGACACGGCCCAGACUCCUACGGGAGGCAGCAGUGGGGAAUAUUGCACAAUGGGCGAAAGCCUGAUGCAGCGACGCCGCGUGAGGGAUGAAGGCCUUCGGGUUGUAAACCUCUUUCAGCAGGGAAGAAGCGCAAGUGACGGUACCUGCAGAAGAAGCGCCGGCUAACUACGUGCCAGCAGCCGCGGUAAUACGUAGGGCGCAAGCGUUGUCCGGAAUUAUUGGGCGUAAAGAGCUCGUAGGCGGUUUGUCGCGUCUGCUGUGAAAACUCAAGGCUCAACCUUGGGCUUGCAGUGGGUACGGGCAGACUAGAGUGCGGUAGGGGUGACUGGAAUUCCUGGUGUAGCGGUGGAAUGCGCAGAUAUCAGGAGGAACACCGAUGGCGAAGGCAGGUCACUGGGCCGCAACUGACGCUGAGGAGCGAAAGCAUGGGGAGCGAACAGGAUUAGAUACCCUGGUAGUCCAUGCCGUAAACGUUGGGCACUAGGUGUGGGGCUCAUUCCACGAGUUCCGUGCCGCAGCAAACGCAUUAAGUGCCCCGCCUGGGGAGUACGGCCGCAAGGCUAAAACUCAAAGAAAUUGACGGGGGCCCGCACAAGCGGCGGAGCAUGCGGAUUAAUUCGAUGCAACGCGAAGAACCUUACCAAGGCUUGACAUACACCGGUAACGUGCAGAGAUGUGCGCCCCGCAAGGUCGGUGUACAGGUGGUGCAUGGGUUGUCGUCAGCUCGUGUCGUGAGAUGUUGGGUUAAGUCCCGCAACGAGCGCAACCCUCGUCCCAUGUUGCCAGCGGGUUAUGCCGGGGACUCAUGGGAGACUGCCGGGGUCAACUU
This 1112-nucleotide ribosomal RNA is filed under the name Cellulomonas sp. LZB056. RNAcentral's name for it is "bacterial SSU rRNA". It matches the Rfam family "Bacterial small subunit ribosomal RNA", at positions 37 to 1164 of the family's 1533-position model. The record is from RNAcentral. Lineage: Bacteria; Bacillati; Actinomycetota; Actinomycetes; Micrococcales; Cellulomonadaceae.